RNAcentral lists this ribosomal RNA (796 nucleotides) under uncultured bacterium. RNAcentral's name for it is "bacterial SSU rRNA". It matches the Rfam family "Bacterial small subunit ribosomal RNA", at positions 8 to 796 of the family's 1533-position model. The record is from RNAcentral.
AGAGUUUGAUCCUGGCUCAGAACGAACGCUGGCGGCGUGCUUAACACAUGCAAGUCGAACGCGAAAAUUUUCCUCGGAAAGUGAGUAGAGUGGCGCACGGGUGAGUAACGCGUAAGUUAUCUACCUCGGCAUUCGGAAUAACUCACCGAAAGGUGUGCUAAUACCGGAUACGUUGAGUAAUCAAGAAAGGUGGCCUCUGAAUAUGCUACUGUGCUGAGAUGAGCUUGCGUACCAUUAGCUAGUUGGUAGGGUAAUGGCCUACCAAGGCAACGAUGGUUAGCGGGUCUGAGAGGAUGAUCCGCCACACUGGAACUGAAACACGGACCAGACUCCUACGGGAGGCAGCAGUGAGGAAUAUUGCGCAAUGGGGGAAACCCUGACGCAGCGACGCCGCGUGGAUGAUGAAGGCCUUCGGGUCGUAAAAUCCUGUCAAGUGGAAAGAAAUGCAUGGUGGCUAAUACCUGCCAUGUUUGACGGUACCACUGAAGGAAGCACCGGCUAACUCCGUGCCAGCAGCCGCGGUAAUACGGAGGGUGCAAGCGUUGUUCGGAAUUACUGGGCGUAAAGCGCGCGUAGGCGGUUUGCUAAGUCAGAUGUGAAAGCCCAUGGCUCAACCAUGGACGUGCAUUUGAAACUGGCAGACUUGAGUAUUGGAGGGGGGUAGAAUUCCACGUGUAGCAGUGAAAUGCGUAGAGAUGUGGAGGAAUACCGAUGGCGAAGGCAGCCCCCUGGGCUAUUUCUGACACUCAUGCACGAAAGCGUGGGGAGCAAACGGGAUUAGAUACCCUGGUAGUCC